GACGAACGCUGGCGGCGUGCUUAACACAUGCAAGUCGAACGGAAAGGCCCUGCUUUUGUGGGGUGCUCGAGUGGCGAACGGGUGAGUAACACGUGAGUAACCUGCCCUUUACUUUGGGAUAACUUCAGGAAACUGGGGCUAAUACCGGAUAGGAGCUCCUGCUGCAUGGUGGGGGUUGGAAAGUUUCGGCGGUUGGGGAUGGACUCGCGGCUUAUCAGCUUGUUGGUGGGGUAGUGGCUUACCAAGGCUUUGACGGGUAGCCGGCCUGAGAGGGUGACCGGCCACAUUGGGACUGAGAUACGGCCCAGACUCCUACGGGAGGCAGCAGUGGGGAAUAUUGCACAAUGGGCGGAAGCCUGAUGCAGCAACGCCGCGUGCGGGAUGACGGCCUUCGGGUUGUAAACCGCUUUCGCCUGUGACGAAGCGUGAGUGACGGUAAUGGGUAAAGAAGCGCCGGCUAACUACGUG
RNAcentral lists this ribosomal RNA (468 nucleotides) under uncultured bacterium. RNAcentral's name for it is "partial 16S ribosomal RNA". It matches the Rfam family "Bacterial small subunit ribosomal RNA", at positions 28 to 507 of the family's 1533-position model. The record is from RNAcentral.